AUAAAAAAUGUUUGUUAUUAAAAAAAAUGUAUGCAGAGAAGAUCAGCAUGGUCCCAGCCCAAGAAUAACACACAAAUUUGUCAAGUGUUCCAUAUUGAA
Ailuropoda melanoleuca (giant panda) is the source of this 99-nucleotide small nuclear RNA. NCBI's taxonomy places the organism in Eukaryota, Metazoa, Chordata, Mammalia, Carnivora, Ursidae. The record is from Ensembl.